AAUGAACGCUGGCGGCGUGCCUAAUACAUGCAAGUCGAGCGAACGGACGAGAAGCUUGCUUCUCUGAUGUUAGCGGCGGACGGGUGAGUAACACGUGGAUAACCUACCUAUAAGACUGGGAUAACUUCGGGAAACCGGAGCUAAUACCGGAUAAUAUUUUGAACCGCAUGGUUCAAAAGUGAAUGACGGUCUUGCUGUCUCUUAUAGAUGGAUCCGCGCUGCAUUAGCUAGUUGGUAAGGUAACGGCUUACCAAGGCAACGAUGCUUAGCGGACCUGAUAGGGUGAUCGGCCACACUGGAACUGAGACACGGUCCAGACUCCUACGGGAGGCAGCAGUAGGGAAUAUUCCGCAAUGGGCGAAAGCCUGACGGAGCAACGCCGCGUGAGUGAAGAAGGUCUUCGGAUCGUAAAACUCUGUUAUUAGGGAAGAAAAGAAGUGUAAGAAAAUGUGCACAUCUUGACGGUACCUAAACAGAAAGCAACGGCUAACUACGUG
Molecule: ribosomal RNA, 497 nt
Filed under: uncultured bacterium
Lineage: Bacteria
Description: partial 16S ribosomal RNA
Rfam family: Bacterial small subunit ribosomal RNA
Source: RNAcentral